AUUGCCCUAGUAACGGCGAGUGAAGCGGCAACAGCUCAAAUUUGAAAUCUGGCCCUCGGGUCCGAGUUGUAAUUUGUAGAGGAUGCUUUUGGCGCGGUGCCUUCCGAGUUCCCUGGAACGGGACGCCUUAGAGGGUGAGAGCCCCGUAUGGUUGGACACCAAGCCUCUGUAUAGCUCCUUCGACGAGUCGAGUAGUUUGGGAAUGCUGCUCUAAAUGGGAGGUAAAUUUCUUCUAAAGCUAAAUAUUGGCCAGAGACCGAUAGCGCACAAGUAGAGUGAUCGAAAGAUGAAAAGCACUUUGAAAAGAGGGUUAAAUAGCACGUGAAAUUGUUGAAAGGGAAGCGUUUGCGACCAGACCUUUUCCUAGCGGAUCAGCCGGUGUUCUCACCGGUGCACUUCGCUAGGUCUAGGCCAGCAUCGGUUUCCGUAGGGGGAUAAAAGCCCUGGGAACGUAGCUCCUCCGGGAGUGUUAUAGCCCUCUGCAUAAUACCCUUACGGGGACCGAGGACCGCGCUUCGGCAAGGAUGCUGGCGUAAUGGUCGUCAACGACCCGUCUUGAAACACGGACCAAGGAGUCGAACAUUUGUGCGAGUGUUUGGGUGUUAAACCCUCACGCGUAAUGAAAGUGAACGGAGGUGAGAGCCCUUACGGGUGCAUCAUCGACCGAUCCUGAUGUCUUCGGAUGGAUUUGAGUAAGAGCAUAACUGUUCGGACCCGAAAGAUGGUGAACUAUGCGUGGAUAGGGUGAAGCCAGAGGAAACUCUGGUGGAGGCUCGCAGCGGUUCUGACGUGCAAAUCGAUCGUCAAAUCUGCGCAUGGGGGCGAAAGACUUAUCGAACCAUCUAGUAGCUGGUUACCGCCGAAGUUUCCCUCAGGAUAGCAGUGUUGUUCUUCAGUUUUAUGAGGUAAAGCGAAUGAUUAGGGACUCGGGGGCGCUUUUUUGCCUUCAUCCAUUCUCAAACUUUAAAUAUGUAAGAAGCCCUUGUUACUUAAUUGAACGUGGGCAUUCGAAUGUACCAACACUAGUGGGCCAUUUUUGGUAAGCAGAACUGGCGAUGCGGGAUGAACCGAACGCGGGGUUAAGGUGCCGGAGUGGACGCUCAUCAGACACCACAAAAGGUGUUAGCACAUUUAGACAAUAGGACGGUGGCCAUGGAAGUCGGAAUCCGCUAAGGACUGUGUAACAACUCACCUAUCGAAUGUGCUAGCCCUGAAAAUGGAUGGCGCUCAAGCGUCCCACCCAUACCUCGCCCUCAGGGUAGAAACGAUGCCCUGAGGAGUAGGCGGCCGUGGGGGUUAGUGACGAAGCCUA
Molecule: ribosomal RNA, 1312 nt
Filed under: Xylaria polymorpha
Lineage: Eukaryota; Fungi; Ascomycota; Sordariomycetes; Xylariales; Xylariaceae
Description: eukaryotic LSU rRNA
Rfam family: Eukaryotic large subunit ribosomal RNA
Source: RNAcentral